ACGAACGCUGGCGGCAGGCCUAACACAUGCCAGUCGAGCGAGCAUUUCGGUGCUAGCGGCGGACGGGUGAGUAACGCGUGGGAACGUGCCCUUUUCUGCGGAAUAGUCCUGGGAAACUGGGGGUAAUACCGCAUACGCCCUUUUGGGGAAAGAUUUAUCGGAGAAGGAUCGGCCCGCGUUGGAUUAGGUAGUUGGUGGGGUAAUGGCCCACCAAGCCGACGAUCCAUAGCUGGUUUGAGAGGAUGAUCAGCCACACUGGGACUGAGACACGGCCCAGACUCCUACGGGAGGCAGCAGUGGGGAAUCUUAGACAAUGGGGGCAACCCUGAUCGAGCCAUGCCGCGUGAGUGAUGAAGGCCUUAGGGUUGUAAAGCUCUUUCAGCUGGGAAGAUAAUGACGGUACCAGCAGAAGAAGCCCCGGCUAACUCCGUG
This 432-nucleotide ribosomal RNA is filed under the name uncultured bacterium. RNAcentral's name for it is "partial 16S ribosomal RNA". It matches the Rfam family "Bacterial small subunit ribosomal RNA", at positions 29 to 507 of the family's 1533-position model. The record is from RNAcentral.